RNAcentral lists this ribosomal RNA (465 nucleotides) under uncultured bacterium. Its description in RNAcentral is "partial 16S ribosomal RNA". It matches the Rfam family "Bacterial small subunit ribosomal RNA", at positions 338 to 795 of the family's 1533-position model. The record is from RNAcentral.
CCUACGGGGGGCAGCAGUAGGGAAUCUUCCACAAUGGGCGAAAGCCUGAUGCAGCAACGCCGCGUGGGUGAAGAAGGUCUUCGGAUCGUAAAACCCUUUUGUUAGGGAAGAAAGUGCGUGAGAGUAACUGUUCACGUUUCGACGGUAUCUAACCAGAAAGCCACUGCUAACGACGUGCCAGCAGCCGCGGUAAUACGUAGGUGGCAAGCGUUAUCCGGAUUUAUUGGGCGUAAAGGGAACGCAGGCGGUCUUUUAAGUCUGAUGUGAAAGCCUUCGGCUUAACCGGAGUAGUUCAUUGGAAACUGGGAGACUUGAGUGGAGAAGAGGGAAGUGGAAAUCCAUGUGUAGCGGUGAAAUGCGUAGAUAUAUGGAAGAAAACCAGUGGCGAAAGCGGCUCUCUGGGCUGUAACUGACGCUGAGGUUCGAAAGCGUGGGGAGCAAACAGGAUUAGAUACCCCGGUAGUC